RNAcentral lists this ribosomal RNA (253 nucleotides) under uncultured bacterium. RNAcentral's name for it is "partial 16S ribosomal RNA". It matches the Rfam family "Bacterial small subunit ribosomal RNA", at positions 524 to 776 of the family's 1533-position model. The record is from RNAcentral.
UACGGAGGUGGCAAGCGUUGCUCGGAAUCACUGGGCGUAAAGGGCGCGUAGGCGGGGAGGUAAGUCGGGUGUGAAAUCCCUCGGCCCAACCGAGGAACUGCGCCCGAGACUGCUUCUCUUGAGUCCCGGAGAGGAAGGUGGAAUUCCCGGUGUAGCGGUGAAAUGUGUAGAGAUCGGGAGGAACACCGGUGGCGAAGGCGGCCUUCUGGACGGUGACUGACGCUGAAACGCGAAAGCGUGGGGAGCAAACAGG